Lynx canadensis (Canada lynx) is the source of this 1075-nucleotide long non-coding RNA. RefSeq lists it as uncharacterized. The transcript is spliced from 2 exons. The record is from RefSeq and is a predicted model, not a curated record. Lineage: Eukaryota; Metazoa; Chordata; Mammalia; Carnivora; Felidae.
AACAGCAUUUGCUCACUUCCUGUUUCUGUGUCACAUUUUGGCAAUUCUCGCAAUAUUUCAAACUUGUUCACUAUUAUUACAUUUGAACUGCUGCAAUCUCAUGAUAACACUUGAAUGGAUGAAGAGUUGCUUCUCAUGCACGAGCAAAGAAAGCGGUUUCUUGAGAUGGACUCUACUCCCGGUGAAGACGCUGGGAAGACUGUCGAAAUGACAACAAAGGAUUGACAACCUCAUACGCUUCGGUGAUAAAGCAGCGGCAAGGUUUGAGAGGACUGACCCCAAAUCUGAAAGAAGUUCUACUGUGGGUAAAAGGUGUCAAACAGGAUCGCAUGCUACAGAGGAAUCGUCUGUGAAAGGAAGAGUCAAUCGGUGUGGCAAACUUCACAGCUGUCGUAUUUUCAGAAACAGGCACAGCCACCCCAGACUUUAGCCACCAGCACCCCGAGCAGACAGAAGCCAGCAACACCCAGGCAAGACCCUCCACUUAGGACUCCCUGAAAGCAUCCUUUCCCUGAGGUGCUGGACAAAUGACUUAGUCACGUGAACCCAAGCAAGAGCAAAAGGAAAACAACAACAACAACAAUCGGUCAAUAUCUCAAAGAUGCUGUUUGCUACGUAGGUGAGCAUCCUUCUUCCCGGGGGAGUGGAGAGGAGCUAGUGGGAAAGGAUUCAGGGCUCCGAGACUCCAGCUGUGUCCUCCUUGGAGAUAAAAGUUGACCACCAGCAGUUCGUUCCCUUAGCAAGUAAGGAGAGAGGGAUAAACUUUUUGAAAAACACGUUUAUUUUAAAAUUUUACAUCAUCUUUGGAUAAUUCAUGAUCGGAUCAGGCACGGUGCAGACACUUCUGAGAUCGAGGUCUCCAGACCAACGUGAACAGUUUCUGCGAUUGAAGAGCCAGGGGACCUCAGGAUAUAGGAUGGAGCGAUGGCUACUGACGAAGACGCGACCCCCUCAAGACGGGGACUUUCCAAACGCAGCGUGCAGUCACCAUUUCUAAAUUAUCUGUCGCAAACAUUAAACAUCUUACCAGACCAACAAUAAUACCCCUAUCUUAUCUGCAGUUUACUAGUUUCCA